AAAUAGGGAUUUUAGAAAAUAGGGCUAUAAAAAAUAGGCUUGAAAAUUCCGAAAGAACUUUAUGGCUCAGCUAUGUUUCUUCUAUGUAUGCGUCUAUAUAUAUAUAUAUAUAUAUAUGCAUACAUCUCUUAUAACGGGCCUGCGUAAUAGGCUUCAGCCCAAUUUGUUUUCUCCUAAUUUAACGAGGAUUUUGUGUUAUUGAUCUCAGUGCAAAACGUACAACACUAGAAUUUAACCCGCGGUACACCGCGGGGCUAUUAUGUUUUAAAAAAUGUA
Molecule: small RNA, 276 nt
Filed under: Arabidopsis thaliana (thale cress)
Lineage: Eukaryota; Viridiplantae; Streptophyta; Magnoliopsida; Brassicales; Brassicaceae
Description: ATSL229900
Source: RNAcentral